GGUCCUGAGGUCCCUAGCCAGUCUGCCUUCUUCCAGAAAUGGAAGAUUCAGUCCUUAAGAUGAAAGUACUGAAAUGGUACUGAUGAAAUCAGCACAGUGACGCCGAUUCUUCAUGAGACAGGCGCAAGUGGCAGUUUGGAAACAUCAUCUGAAAGAAGCAGAAGAGUCUAAACCAGUGUCACCAUAAGGUAAGAAAAAUGAAGAGCAACGACAUCAAGUAAAUUGUCCAAGUUACAUCACUAAGAAGUGGAACAACAGAGCACUUCAUCCUCUUUAACAGUUGCCUGGCAGCCCGAUGUACAGACGCACCUUGGUUUAUUUAAUUUCACAUAUGGAUGAACAUUUAAGCUACUUCUACUAUUACAAUUGAUGUUGUAAUAAUCAUUC
This is a long non-coding RNA of Diceros bicornis minor, 387 nucleotides long. RefSeq lists it as uncharacterized. NCBI's taxonomy places the organism in Eukaryota, Metazoa, Chordata, Mammalia, Perissodactyla, Rhinocerotidae. The transcript is spliced from 3 exons. The record is from RefSeq and is a predicted model, not a curated record.